This is a long non-coding RNA of Saccostrea echinata, 212 nucleotides long. RefSeq lists it as uncharacterized. The transcript has 3 exons. The record is from RefSeq and is a predicted model, not a curated record. Lineage: Eukaryota; Metazoa; Mollusca; Bivalvia; Ostreida; Ostreidae.
CAGAAACUGAGAAAUGCAAGUGAUUGUCAUUUUCGUAGCAGUGGCACUUUUUGCUGGCAGCAUUAGAGGGGAGUCCUGCCAUGAUAAAUCACGAAACUGUCAAAAAAAUCAAUCAUUAAAAAUGGCAUAGUAUGGUCAGUACAAAACUGUGCCCAGACAUGCGGAUACUGCAACCACACUGGUAUGAUAUCUGACUGGGAGGACUUACACGA